GACGAACGCUGGCGGCGUGGAUUAGGCAUGCAAGUCGAACGGUAUCAUCCUUUCGGGGGUGAGAGAGUGGCGAACUGGUGAGUAACACGUAGGUUAUCUACCCUCAAGACGGGGACAACCCAGGGAAACCUGGGCUAAUACCGGAUGUGAGCAACUUUUAGUUGUUUGAAAGGUGGCGUAAGCUGUCGCUUGGGGAUGAGCCUGCGUCCUAUUAGUUAGUUGGUGAGGUAACGGCUCACCUAGGCAAUGAUAGGUAGGCGGCCUUAACGGGUGGUCGCCCACACUGGGAUUGAGAUACGGCCCAGACUCCUACGGGAGGCAGCAGUCGAGAAUAGUCUACAAUGGUCGGAAGACUGAUAGUGCGACGCCGCGUGAACGAUGAAUCCCUUCGGGGUGUAAAGUUCUUUUAUAUGUGAGCAGUGCUUCUUAUAUUAACAGUAUGGGGAGAGAGAUAUUAGCAUAUGAAUAAGCAACGGCUAACUCCGUG
This 487-nucleotide ribosomal RNA is filed under the name uncultured bacterium. RNAcentral describes it as "bacterial SSU rRNA". It matches the Rfam family "Bacterial small subunit ribosomal RNA", at positions 28 to 507 of the family's 1533-position model. The record is from RNAcentral.